AACUCGCUGUGAAGAUGCAGUGUACCCGCGGCAAGACGGAAAGACCCCGUGAACCUUUACUAUAGCUUGACACUGAACAUUGAGCCUUGAUGUGUAGGAUAGGUGGGAGGCUUUGAAGUGUGGACGCCAGUCUGCAUGGAGCCGACCUUGAAAUACCACCCUUUAAUGUUUGAUGUUCUAACGUAGGCCCCUUAUCGGGGUUGCGGACAGUGUCUGGUGGGUAGUUUGACUGGGGCGGUCUCCUCCUAAAGAGUAACGGAGGAGCACGAAGGUUGGCUAAUCCUGGUCGGACAUCAGGAGGUUAGUGCAAUGGCAUAAGCCAGCUUGACUGCGAGCGUGACGGCGCGAGCAGGUGCGAAAGCAGGUCAUAGUGAUCCGGUGGUUCUGAAUGGAAGGGCCAUCGCUCAACGGAUAAAAGGUACUCCGGGGAUAACAGGCUGAUACCGCCCAAGAGUUCAUAUCGACGGCGGUGUUUGGCACCUCGAUGUCGGCUCAUCACAUCCUGGGGCUGAAGUAGGUCCCAAGGGUAUGGCUGUUCGCCAUUUAAAGUGGUACGCGAGCUGGGUUUAGAACGUCGUGAGACAGUUCGGUCCCUA
This 596-nucleotide ribosomal RNA is filed under the name Escherichia coli. RNAcentral's name for it is "partial 23S ribosomal RNA". It matches the Rfam family "Bacterial large subunit ribosomal RNA", at positions 2045 to 2640 of the family's 2925-position model. Lineage: Bacteria; Pseudomonadati; Pseudomonadota; Gammaproteobacteria; Enterobacterales; Enterobacteriaceae. The record is from RNAcentral.